This 1936-nucleotide long non-coding RNA is filed under the name Trifolium pratense (red clover). Its description in RNAcentral is "long non-coding RNA (TPRA_LNC000012)". Lineage: Eukaryota; Viridiplantae; Streptophyta; Magnoliopsida; Fabales; Fabaceae. The record is from RNAcentral.
GUGCACUAUAAAGGAAAGGGUGAAAAAUAAGGCAACACCAAUAGAAUGUACUUAAUCUCUAUGUAAUUAAUAUAUAAGUUGAGACAAUAUACAAAAAAAAAAAUGCAGUGUACAUACUUUUAAUAGUACACGAUACAAUAGAAAUUGAGAUAACUCUAUCCUAGUUGCACUCAGGCUUUAGCUAAUCUUCCACAAACUCUAAAGUUUCCUUGUAGUUGGAGAAUNNNNNNNNNNNNNNNNNNNNNNNNNNNNNNNNNNNNNNNNNNNNNCUUGGUAUUGGAUAUAAAGUCCUGACCUAUUUAAUCUCAUACUUCAUGUGUUACCUAAAAUUGCAAAAAUUAGCGUUUCAGUAGUAAUUAACAAAAGGCAGCCAAAAUCAUAAUCUUAAUACAAAACAGAAAACAAUGAUAAGGGCCAAAUUUGCUCACCUAAAAUCACUCUUUAAGGUCGCAGUCCCGUUGUCGAGAUGAACUAAAUAAUAAAUUUCAAGCUUGAUGAUAUUGAAAGUUACUCCCAUAUUUCCCUUCAGCUUGAAUACAUUUUAACCAAUAGAUCUUGAAAGACAUCAACAACUGUUGAACCUCGCAAAAGUUUUAGAAACAAAAUCAGGUUUAAAAAUUUAUAAAGUAAAAGGAAACAUUAAAUUAGACACAAUGAGCUGAAAUUUUGCAAGAGAAGGAAUUCAAACCUCACAUAGGCCAUCCAAUAUUAAACUCGGUGAGAUAUAGAAAGGAAAGAGGUAAUUGAGCAAAUUUGAAUUUUGAAUUGAAGAGGGAACAUGUGUGUAUAUAUAAUCAUAAACAAAAAUAAAAACCAAAUAGAACAAAAAGACAAUAGGUGACUAAUGCAUUUAAGUAACAACAAUGUUUUAAAACAUGAGAUUAUUUUGAAAAGUCUUCAAAAUAAUAAACAUGAGAUUUAUUUACUGAAACCAAGAACUAAUAAACUGAAAACAAUACCUAAAGAAAAAAAAUGUGACUAUUGAGAUCUAUCGUUCACUAAGCACUAUUCACUCUCUCAUUCUCUUCUACUUCAUUGUAUUCCUAAGAGAAGAAUAAAGACCCAUAAACACAACAACAAAAGAUGGAAAUAUGAACAUUUUCAUAUCACAAUAAUUUUUUUGGAUGAAUCAGAUAAAAUUCUAAGAAUGAGACUUCUAAGGUUCAUGUUCAAUUAAGUACCUUCCUAAUUUAUAUUAUAAACCAAAUUGUUAUGGCUUGACAUAUUUAAAGGGAUAGUGAACCAACAAAGCCUUCUAAGAAUGAGACACUUAAGGUUCAUGUUCAGUUAAGAAAAAAAAUGGAGUGAAGAGAAGGACUCACCUUGUAAAUCAGAAUGCUAAGGGAAAACAUGGCAAGCCACUCCUUCAUCAUGGCAUUGCUAAUCUUGCUACAUUCUCUCAAUAAUAGUUAAUAGCAACUUUCCAACUUCAUUCUCGUUACUCGCCCUUCAAAAAAAUGAAUGUGUUAAAAAUGUCUGGGAGAGAAAUCCAACAAACAAAUUUAGGAUGGAGAUAAUAUGACAAACACAAUAGAAAGUAAUAGAGAGAGAGGAUAUCAGAUAAUUUUUUAAAAAAAGUAACGAAGAUAAGGAUAAACUGAUUUCUAACAAAAGAUAAAACUCAUACUAUGUAUUCUUUGAUAUCUAAAAAAGUAACGAAGAUAAAACUUAUCUAAACUAAAUUGAUAUCUAACAAAAGAGAAAACUCAUAACUAUGUAUUCUUUGAUCUUAUCUACUAUAUCCACUAAAAGAGAAAAAAUAGAGACAUUAACACAACAUAUUGCAAUUGCUCCAACUGCUGAGAUAUUGAAAUGUGAAUAUCUUCCAUCUACCGUUGAGAACAUAAUCUCCUAUAAAUUAGAAUGGAACAAAAUAAUUACCUUUCAAAAAAGAGAAACCAAAAUGAAACAAUGUAACUAAUUUUUUUAAAGNNNN